This is a long non-coding RNA of Hyalella azteca, 1119 nucleotides long. RefSeq lists it as uncharacterized. The record is from RefSeq and is a predicted model, not a curated record. NCBI's taxonomy places the organism in Eukaryota, Metazoa, Arthropoda, Malacostraca, Amphipoda, Hyalellidae. The transcript has 2 exons.
CUUUAAACCAUUAUAAAAUAUACAGUAGUUAAUCAUCAAUUUUCGAGUACGAAUAACACUCUUGUAAUAACGGAAUGAUGAAGUUUAGUAAAUGUCGAAAAUAUUUUGUUACAUCGUACUUAAAAGAAUAUUGUGAAAAUUUCGUAAGAACGCCAGUGGAGAACCAUCUGCCAAUCGCGCAUUGUUUAGCUAAGUCAUUUUCUAGACGACGCCGUGGUGUUAACAUCUGGUCCGGACUCCGGGGUGUUGGUCGUGCCGUCAUUCUUCAUCCCAUCAAUAAACAUACUAAACCUUUGGAUUCUUACUCAAUACUCAAGCCCCACGUGAUGCCUAUAUACUACAAACAAUAGGGAGAGGAUGAGGAACAGCUGUUACCACUUAUAUAUAUCACAAUUCACACUUCUUAAACUGCCCUCACUCCUAAAUCCCUAAAGUGGCGACCCCUAUGCUAUGAACACCCAACUGUGAUCUGUGAACCAACUUCUCACUGUGAAAUAAAAUCCAACCUUGCCGACCAACACCCCGGAAGAAAAAACCCCUAGGGCCCAAUCAAAAAUUAUUUCAACACCCCGGAAGAAAAAACCCCUAGGGCCCAAUCAAAAAUUAUUUCAACACCCAGAAUUCUAACGGCCAGACCAGAAUCUUCAUUAUCCUACUCACAAUUUUGUUGCUUAACCUAUCUGCCUACCUAUAAUAUUCUUCAUGCAAUCUGAUCCUGGCAAAUCUGAAUAAUUCAACCUUUUCACAAUUCACAAGAUACUUUCCCAGUUUCCCUUGUUAUUUAUACACUCAAGAUUCAAGAAACAUCAUCUCAUCACCCUUCUCAAGUGUCCUGCCUAGAAAAGAUCAGCACGUGGAACUUCAACUCUCCAGGGUCAAGACCAGACUGAAAAGGAAGGCACAACAAACAUCAGCACCUGAAACUUCAAACUCUCAAUAUCAGCAGCCUGAACAUAAGCAGUGAGUGAGUGAAAUUCUAUACAAUUUUAGUGAAACCGGUGCAGAAAUAAUUUUUCUCAUGCAGUACUGUAUUGAGAUCGGUGUUGCCAUCCUCAGAGUGUAUACUGUGUAUUCAUAUUGUCUCGCAGCAUUGUUAAUCUCUAAAAUUCAAGUAACAAA